UUUAGAUUAAAUCUAAAGAUAUGUGAGUUUAAUUUUAUGUGUUCUUAGGAUUUGUUGUGUAGAGCUUGCUAAACACUCUCCAAGUGUUGGAUUUACAUUUGGUGGAAUUUUUGUGACGUAUUGCAAGGUGAUGUCUAGGAAACCUAGUGCUUAAUAUCCGUGCAGCCAGACAUUAAUGCUUUGGUUGCAGGUUUUGCGGAUAUAGAUAUUGACUCAUCCACCUAGUGUAUGGG
Long non-coding RNA from Alnus glutinosa, 233 nucleotides. RefSeq lists it as uncharacterized. The record is from RefSeq and is a predicted model, not a curated record. Lineage: Eukaryota; Viridiplantae; Streptophyta; Magnoliopsida; Fagales; Betulaceae. The transcript has 3 exons.